This 450-nucleotide ribosomal RNA is filed under the name uncultured bacterium. RNAcentral's name for it is "partial 16S ribosomal RNA". It matches the Rfam family "Bacterial small subunit ribosomal RNA", at positions 328 to 794 of the family's 1533-position model. The record is from RNAcentral.
GGCCCAGACUCCUACGGGAGGCAGCAGUGGGGAAUAUUGCACAAUGGGGGGAAACCCUGAUGCAGCGACGCCGCGUGGGUGAAGAAGUAUUUCGGUAUGUAAAGCCCUAUCAGCAGGGAAGAAGAAUGACGGUACCUGACUAAGAAGCACCGGCUAAAUACGUGCCAGCAGCCGCGGUAAUACGUAUGGUGCAAGCGUUAUCCGGAUUUACUGGGUGUAAAGGGAGCGCGGGCGGCACGCUAAGCCGGCGGUCAAAUCGCGGGGCUCAACCCCGCCCAGCCGUCGGAACUGCCGGGCUAGAGUGGGCGAGAAGUGCGCGGAAUGCGUGGUGUAGCGGUGAAAUGCAUAGAUAUCACGCAGAACUCCGAUUGCGAAGGCAGCGCACCGGCGCCCUACUGACGCUCAGGCACGAAAGCGUGGGUAUCGAACAGGAUUAGAUACCCCCGUAUA